Streptomyces rubellomurinus is the source of this 68-nucleotide transfer RNA. It matches the Rfam family "tRNA". Rfam says of the family: Transfer RNA (tRNA) molecules are approximately 80 nucleotides in length. Their secondary structure includes four short double-helical elements and three loops (D, anti-codon, and T loops). NCBI's taxonomy places the organism in Bacteria, Bacillati, Actinomycetota, Actinomycetes, Kitasatosporales, Streptomycetaceae. The record is from Rfam.
CUAGCUCAGUUGGUUAGAGCAGCUGACUCUUAAUCAGCGGGUCCGGGGUUCGAGUCCCUGGCGGCGCA